CCUACGGGUGGCUGCAGUGGGGAAUAUUGCACAAUGGGCGCAAGCCUGAUGCAGCCAUGCCGCGUGUGUGAAGAAGGCCUUCGGGUUGUAAAGCACUUUCAGCGGGGAGGAAGGCGGUGAGGUUAAUAACCUCAUCGAUUGACGUUACCCGCAGAAGAAGCACCGGCUAACUCCGUGCCAGCAGCCGCGGUAAUACGGAGGGUGCAAGCGUUAAUCGGAAUUACUGGGCGUAAAGCGCACGCAGGCGGUCUGUCAAGUCGGAUGUGAAAUCCCCGGGCUCAACCUGGGAACUGCAUUCGAAACUGGCAGGCUAGAGUCUUGUAGAGGGGGGUAGAAUUCCAGGUGUAGCGGUGAAAUGCGUAGAGAUCUGGAGGAAUACCGGUGGCGAAGGCGGCCCCCUGGACAAAGACUGACGCUCAGGUGCGAAAGCGUGGGGAGCAAACAGGAUAGAUACCCGGGUAGUC
This 464-nucleotide ribosomal RNA is filed under the name uncultured Klebsiella sp. RNAcentral describes it as "bacterial SSU rRNA". It matches the Rfam family "Bacterial small subunit ribosomal RNA", at positions 338 to 795 of the family's 1533-position model. The record is from RNAcentral. Lineage: Bacteria; Pseudomonadati; Pseudomonadota; Gammaproteobacteria; Enterobacterales; Enterobacteriaceae.